CCUACGGGAGGCAGCAGUCGAGAAUCAUUCACAAUGGGGGAAACCCUGAUGGUGCGACGCCGCGUGGGGGAAUGAAGGUCUUCGGAUUGUAAACCCCUGUCAUGUGGGAGCAAAUUAAAAAGAUAGUACCACAAGAGGAAGAGACGGCUAACUCUGUGCCAGCAGCCGCGGUAAUACAGAGGUCUCAAGCGUUGUUCGGAAUCACUGGGCGUAAAGCGUGCGUAGACUGUUUCGUAAGUCGUGUGUGAAAGGCGCGGGCUCAACCCGCGGACGGCACAUGAUACUGCGAGACUAGAGUAAGGGAGGGGGAACCGGAAUUCUCGGUGUAGGAGUGAAAUGCGUAGAUAUCGAGAGGAACACUCGUGGCGAAGGCGGGUUCCUGGACAUUAACUGACGCUGAGGCACGAAGGCCAGGGGAGCGAAAGGGAUUAGAUACCCCUGUAGUC
RNAcentral lists this ribosomal RNA (446 nucleotides) under uncultured bacterium. RNAcentral describes it as "partial 16S ribosomal RNA". It matches the Rfam family "Bacterial small subunit ribosomal RNA", at positions 338 to 795 of the family's 1533-position model. The record is from RNAcentral.